GAUGAACGCUAGCGGCAGGCUUAAUACAUGCAAGUCAAGGGGGUAGCAAUACAACCGGCGCACGGGUGAGUAACGCGUACACAACAUACCAUAUACUGGGGUAUAGCUUCGGGAAACUGAAGGUAAUCCCCCAUAAUAUUGCGGGAAGGCAUCUUUCUGCAAUUAAAGUUUCGACGGUAUAUGAUUGGUGUGCGUUUGAUUAGCUAGUUGGUAGGGUAACGGCCUACCAAGGCGACGAUCAAUAGCUGGCGUGAGAGCGCGACCAGCCACACUGGAACUGAGACACGGUCCAGACUCCUACGGGAGGCAGCAGUAGGGAAUAUUGGACAAUGGGCGAAAGCCUGAUCCAGCCAUCGCCGCGUGAUAGAUGGAACGGCCCUCGUGGGUUAGUAAAUAUUCUUUUAUCGUAGGGAAAG
This 416-nucleotide ribosomal RNA is filed under the name uncultured bacterium. Its description in RNAcentral is "bacterial SSU rRNA". It matches the Rfam family "Bacterial small subunit ribosomal RNA", at positions 28 to 451 of the family's 1533-position model. The record is from RNAcentral.